GGAUGUGAGGGUGAUCUGGCUGAAGUAUCUGUCACUCCAUUGAUGACUAGGGUUGAUUCAGCUGAUCUGGCUGGAUAGGCAGGUAUCCUCUUCCUAACCUGUCCAUUUGCAUCCUUCCUGAAGCUGCCCUCUCAGUCAAAGAUGAUGAUCUUCCAUAAAUAGAGACAGGCUAGUCUUUGGUCAAUGGUAUAGGAGUAGCUGUGAUCCCCACUAGAACCUCCAAGUAAGCUCUCAAGGUUUAAAGGAUUGUGACUUUACAGUUCCUCAUCAUACCCACCACUACUGCUACCUUCAGAGCAGCUAUAGU
This 307-nucleotide small nuclear RNA is filed under the name Erinaceus europaeus (western European hedgehog). RNAcentral describes it as "7SK RNA". It matches the Rfam family "7SK RNA". From Rfam's summary of the family: 7SK was discovered as an abundant small nuclear RNA in the mid-70s but a possible function has only recently been suggested. Two independent studies have found that 7SK RNA binds the CDK9/cyclin T complex (known as elongation factor P-TEFb). The record is from Rfam by way of RNAcentral. Lineage: Eukaryota; Metazoa; Chordata; Mammalia; Eulipotyphla; Erinaceidae.